Molecule: long non-coding RNA, 379 nt
Organism: Lepisosteus oculatus (spotted gar)
Lineage: Eukaryota; Metazoa; Chordata; Actinopteri; Semionotiformes; Lepisosteidae
Source: RefSeq, a predicted model, not a curated record
CCGAAUUCGAAUCCCGGAAGCAGAAUGGAGAGUUGCAAUCGUCACGCAAUCGAUAAUAAGUGCUAUUCUCCGACCCAAAUGAUUUGUGGUGCUAGGCCGAAGUACCUUUAGAGAAGAUGAAGAUGAUGAAGACCAUCAAGAAUGGCACAGCCAGAGAGCAGGCUAGAAUAUCAUAACUCCAACAUGGCCUAUCCAUCCUGUCUCCCUCUCACUGUGUGGAAUUUUAUUUCAUGGAUUCAUUCAAAAACAUUUCCCUUUAACCACUUCCUGGAGCUCCCAGAGACAGAUGUUGUACUAAAUAUGCACAAGGCACAGUUAACUCCACUAAGAUUAUACAAGUGCUGUUUAAACUUUCAGAAUAAACAAUAAUUUUUUCUUA